Molecule: ribosomal RNA, 492 nt
Filed under: uncultured bacterium
Lineage: Bacteria
Description: partial 16S ribosomal RNA
Rfam family: Bacterial small subunit ribosomal RNA
Source: RNAcentral
AGUGAACGCUGGCGGUAGGCCUAACACAUGCAAGUCGAACGGCAGCACAGUAAGAGCUUGCUCUUACGGGUGGCGAGUGGCGGACGGGUGAGGAAUACAUCGGAAUCUACUUUUUCGUGGGGGAUAACGUAGGGAAACUUACGCUAAUACCGCAUACGACCUACGGGUGAAAGCAGGGGAUCUUCGGACCUUGCGCGAUUGAAUGAGCCGAUGUCGGAUUAGCUAGUUGGCGGGGUAAAGGCCCACCAAGGCGACGAUCCGUAGCUGGUCUGAGAGGAUGAUCAGCCACACUGGGACUGAGACACGGUCCAGACUCCGACGGGAGGCAGCGGUGGGGAAUAUUGGACGAUGGGCGCAAGCCUGAUCCAGCCAUACCGCGUGGGUGAAGAAGGCCUUCGGGUUGUAAAGCCCUUUUGUUGGGAAAGAAAAGCAGCAGGUUAAUACCCCGCUGUUCUGACGGUACCCAAAGAAUAAGCACCGGCUAACUUCGUG